Molecule: transfer RNA, 72 nt
Filed under: Craugastor rhodopis (polymorphic robber frog)
Lineage: Eukaryota; Metazoa; Chordata; Amphibia; Anura; Craugastoridae
Description: tRNA-Tyr
Source: RNAcentral
AGGUAAGGUGGCCGAGAGAUAGGUGGUGGCUUGUAAUUCCAACUUAGGGCGGUUUAAGUCCGCCCCUUACCA